GUGGGGACACUUAAAAUGAAUGAAUGAAAUUAAAAAGAAAAGAGAAAAUCUAAAAUUUAUAAACUGUUUAAAAGAAGAAAGAAAUUGAAGUGAACUGAAAUAAAAGACAAUAGAACUCUAAACUACCUAAAACAACAACAGAACCUAUGCAAUUAAAAUGAUCUAAAACUAAUGAAUCCAAAUAUACAAAUUAAAGAAACCCAAUGCUAAACAUAUGAAAUCAAUUGACAAAUAAAUCUCCUAGUUGUAUGCCUAUUCUAAAAAAUGUAAAUGUAAGGACUAGAUCGUCACAGAACAGAACCAAAUGGAAGGUAAAGUAAAAAUCACAAUCAGCACUAAGACUAUUUUAACAUCAAUUCAACAAAAAUACUAAAAAAUAAAAC
RNAcentral lists this long non-coding RNA (383 nucleotides) under Vigna radiata. RNAcentral describes it as "long non-coding RNA (VRAD_LNC006813)". The record is from RNAcentral. Lineage: Eukaryota; Viridiplantae; Streptophyta; Magnoliopsida; Fabales; Fabaceae.